This 277-nucleotide long non-coding RNA is filed under the name Nicotiana benthamiana. Its description in RNAcentral is "long non-coding RNA (NBEN_LNC016004)". The record is from RNAcentral. Lineage: Eukaryota; Viridiplantae; Streptophyta; Magnoliopsida; Solanales; Solanaceae.
UGAUGAUGCUAUACUCUACACUUAUGUGCAGAUACCGAAGCAGCAUUUGGGCAACAAUAUUAGUUCGGGAGCUAGCCUUAAGUCCACCUAGACUCAGAUGUAACCUUGUAGGCGUACGCAGGCCUGACGUCUCCUCUAUCUUAUAUUUCCUUCUGUUAUCUCAUGUAUUCGAGACAAACAAUAUUUUGUUUCUUUCAAACAAUUGUAUUUAGCACUCUUAGUAGUCUGUGGAUGUUGUGACACCAGGUGUUUGGUAGAUACUUGUGUUAAUUUUCUA